This is a long non-coding RNA of Petromyzon marinus (sea lamprey), 1011 nucleotides long. RefSeq lists it as uncharacterized. The record is from RefSeq and is a predicted model, not a curated record. Lineage: Eukaryota; Metazoa; Chordata; Hyperoartia; Petromyzontiformes; Petromyzontidae.
GGGGGGAGACGAGAGACACGCGGCACAGUUGGCAGUGCCGUAGUGGCUCGGACGCAGCACACACACGGGGCCCAGCGGGGAGACGUCCCGUUCCAACCCCGAUCCCCGCGAGCCUACCGGCGUUUAGUGCCGUGGCAGGGAAUUCCCGAAGACCGGAUCCACGUGUCGACGUGGUGUGGUACCUGGGAUACCACUCUCCCCAGCCUUCCAAUACGUCAGAUGGAUAUACAAGAAAGCAUAAGUCGGGACACAAAAAGAGGAAGAACCAAUAAAAAAAAGGAUUAAGCAUUGAAACAAAUCAAGAGACCUAUUCUGAAGUUCAUGAACAAGAACGUGGAGAGUGGUAGAGCAAAUCCGCCAAUGGAAUCAUCACCAUUAAUUAUGCAAUUGGAUCAUGAUAAUAGUGAAACUUGUGAACAUAUUGGUCUUGAAGCAGAAUCUCAUUCGCAAGUAGAGGGUAGAUCAAGUGAAGAAACAGGUUUAUACCCAUUUGGAAGCAGAUCAUUUGGUGAAAUAAUCACAGACUCCAAAGCUAACAUCAGAUGCUGACUUUACUAGUAGGCCUGCCAGCGAUCCUGCACUCUGGACAGAAGUCACUGCAGAUUUGGAGAUGGAAAACGGCAAAAUGCAUAUGCCAGAUUGAAUGAUCGAUUCAGUUUAUUUGUAGAUAGAUCACUAUCCACAGUAUAAAUUGUUAUACUGGCCAAUGCUUUGGUUGCUGCAUAUACAGCAGCUCUUGGAAAAUAAUUCACCAAUGAAUUCCUGUUGUUCCUGCAUUUAUAUGCAGAUAAAAAUAAUAGUGACAAAUAUGCUCAAAGCCCAAAUAUCUUAUUAUUUGAUUAGCAGCUUUCUGAAUGUUUACAUUGCUCUAAGGAUGUAUUUUGCUAUUUUGGGAACGAAUUGUGAAAGGGAGGGUUCUUUUUCUAAACUAAAGCUACAAAAAAACUGUCUCCGAUCAACACCAUUUGAUGGUCUUAUUGCUAAUUUUGCAAUAAAAAUCUCGAAAGUUAA